AACGAACGCUGGCGGCAGGCUUAACACAUGCAAGUCGAACGCCCCGCCAGGGGAGUGGCAGACGGGUGAGUAACGCGUGGGAACAUACCCUUUUCUACGGAAUAGCUCUGGGAAACUGGUAUUAAUACCGUAUACGCCCUACGGGGGAAAGAUUUAUCGGGGAAGGAUUGGCCCGCGUUGGAUUAGCUAGUUGGUGGGGUAAAGGCCUACCAAGGCGACGAUCCAUAGCUGGUCUGAGAGGAUGAUCAGCCACAUUGGGACUGAGACACGGCCCAAACUCCGACGGGAGGCAGCAGUGGGGAAUAUUGGACAAGGGGGGCAAGCCUGAUCAAGCCAUGUCGCGUGAGUGAUGAAGGCCGUAGGGUUGUAAAGCUCUUUCACCGAUGAAGAUAAUGACGGUAGUCGGAGAAGAAGCCCCGGCUAACUUCGUG
RNAcentral lists this ribosomal RNA (431 nucleotides) under uncultured bacterium. RNAcentral describes it as "partial 16S ribosomal RNA". It matches the Rfam family "Bacterial small subunit ribosomal RNA", at positions 29 to 507 of the family's 1533-position model. The record is from RNAcentral.